Molecule: long non-coding RNA, 1782 nt
Organism: Oryzias javanicus (javanese ricefish)
Lineage: Eukaryota; Metazoa; Chordata; Actinopteri; Beloniformes; Adrianichthyidae
Source: Ensembl
CUCUGUGUCGUAGCAGACAGAGAGGAUGAGGCAGCAGCUACAACAGUCUUCCUGUUCUUCUUCACAGUGAAGGCUGGAAGAAGAUGUGUGUGAGCUGAUCCUGUGGAUCCAGUCAAUCCAGCAGCAUGGAUCAGUGGGAGGAGACACAGGAGGGAGCCCCUCCCUCUAAAAAAAGGAGAGGUGGAAAACAAAAGAGCCAGAGCAAAGCUCAGAGGAGCCAUUUUCGACCUGGAUCUGAAUCUGGAUCUGAAUCUGGAUCUGAAUCUGGAUUUGAAUCAGAAUCUGAAUCUGGAUCUGAAUCUGGAUCUGGAUCUGAAUCUGGAUCUGAAUCUGGAUCCAGCUGUGUGUCCUUCAGGAGUGACAAGUCAAAGGACUUUAAUCCUGACUUCAAGUCCAUCAGUCCAGGAGUGAAACAGAGCCAUUUUCGACCUGGAUUUGAAUCAGAAUCUGAAUCUGGAUCUGAAUCUGGAUCUGGAUCUGAAUCUGGAUCUGAAUCUGGAUCUGAAUCUGGAUUUGAAUCAGAAUCUGAAUCUGGAUCUGAAUCUGAAUCUGGAUCUGAAUCUGAAUCUGAAUCUGGAUCUGGAUCUGGAUCUGAAUCAGGAUCUGGAUCUGAAUCUGAAUCUGGAUCUGAAUCUGGAUCCAGCUGUGUGUCCUUCAGGAGUGACAAGUCAAAGGACUUUAAUCCUGACUUCAAGUCCAUCAGUCCAGGAGUGAAACAGAGCCAUUUUCGACCUGGAUUUGAAUCAGAAUCUGAAUCUGGAUCUGAAUCUGGAUCUGGAUCUGAAUCUGGAUCUGAAUCUGGAUCUGAAUCUGGAUUUGAAUCAGAAUCUGAAUCUGGAUCUGAAUCUGAAUCUGGAUCUGAAUCUGGAUCUGAAUCUGGAUCCAGCUGUGUGUCCUUCAGGAGUGACAAGUCAAAGGACUUUAAUCCUGACUUCAAGUCCAUCAGUCCAGGAGUGAAACAGAGCCAUUUUCGACCUGGAUUUGAAUCAGAAUCUGAAUCUGGAUCUGAAUCUGGAUCUGGAUCUGAAUCUGGAUCUGAAUCUGGAUCUGAAUCUGGAUCUGGAUCUGAAUCUGGAUCUGAAUCUGGAUCUGAAUCUGGAUUUGAAUCAGAAUCUGAAUCUGGAUCUGAAUCUGAAUCUGGAUCUGAAUCUGGAUCCAGCUGUGUGUCCUUCAGGAGUGACAAGUCAAAGGACUUUAAUCCUGACUUCAAGUCCAUCAGUCCAGGAGUGAAACAGAGCCAUUUUCGACCUGGAUCUGAAUCUGGAUCUGGAUCUGGAUCUGAAUCAGGAUUUGAAUCUGAACCUGGAUCUGAAUCUGGAUCCAGCUGUGUGUCCUUCAGGAGUGACAAGUCAAAGGACUUUAAUCCUGACUUCAAGUCCAUCAGUCCAGGAGUGAAACAGAGCCAUUUUCGACCUGGAUUUGAAUCAGAAUCUGAAUCUGAAUCUGAAUCUGGAUCUGGAUCUGAAUCUGGAUCUGAAUCUGGAUCUGAAUCUGGAUCUGGAUCUGAAUCUGGAUCUGAAUCUGAUCUGAAUCUGGUUUGAAUCAGAAUCUGAAUCUGAUCUGAAUCUGAAUCUGGAUCUGAAUCUGGAUCUGAAUCUGGAUCCAGCUGUGUGUCCUUCAGGAGUGACAAGUCAAAGGACUUUAAUCCUGACUUCAAGUCCAUCAGUCCAGGAGUGAAACAGUAAGUGUUUGUCAGAGUUAAAGGAGGCUGGAUAAUAGUUCAGAUGAUCAAUAGUUUUCAGAUAAAUGAUUGAGAUCUGGUUCAGUUUUUGAUCUCUCUGA